Molecule: ribosomal RNA, 287 nt
Filed under: uncultured bacterium
Lineage: Bacteria
Description: partial 16S ribosomal RNA
Rfam family: Bacterial small subunit ribosomal RNA
Source: RNAcentral
UUCCUACGGGGGGCAGCAGUAGGGAAUCUUCCACAAUGGACGAAAGUCUGAUGGAGCAACGCCGCGUGAGUGAAGAAGGGUUUCGGCUCGUAAAGCUUUGUUGGUAGUGAAGAAAGAUAGAGGUAGUAACUGGCCUUUAUUUGACGGUAAUUACUUAGAAAGUCACGGUUAACUACGUGCCAGCAGCCGCGGUAAUACGUAGGUGGCAAGCGUUGUCCGGAUUUAUUGGGCGUAAAGCGAGUGCAGGCGGUUCAAUAAGUCUGAUUGUGAAGCCUUCGGGCCAACCG